This 308-nucleotide ribosomal RNA is filed under the name uncultured bacterium. RNAcentral describes it as "bacterial SSU rRNA". It matches the Rfam family "Bacterial small subunit ribosomal RNA", at positions 772 to 1081 of the family's 1533-position model. The record is from RNAcentral.
ACCGAAUAGAUACCCGGGUACGUCCACGCCGUAAACUAUGAACGCUAGCCGUUGGCGAGCUUGCGUCGUCAGUGGCGCAGCUAACGCAUUAAGCGUUCCGCCUGGGGAGUACGGCCGCAAGGUUGAAACUCAAAGAAAUUGACGGGGGCCCGCACAAGCGGUGGAGCAUGUGGUUUAAUUCGACGCAACGCGCAGAACCUUACCAGGGUUUGACAUCCCGAGACCGCUGCUGAAAGGCAGUUUCCCGCAAGGGCUCGGAGACAGGUGCUGCAUGGCUGUCGUCAGCUCGUGUCGUGAGAUGUUGGGUU